This 406-nucleotide ribosomal RNA is filed under the name uncultured prokaryote. Its description in RNAcentral is "bacterial SSU rRNA". It matches the Rfam family "Bacterial small subunit ribosomal RNA", at positions 355 to 776 of the family's 1533-position model. The record is from RNAcentral. RNAcentral also lists the same sequence under 1 other name.
UGGGGAAUAUUGGGCAAUGGGGGAAACCCUGACCCAGCAACGCCGCGUGAGGGAAGAAGGUUUUCGGAUCGUAAACCUCUGUCCUUGGUGAAGAGUAAGAGACGGUAGCCAAGGAGGAAGCCCCGGCUAACUACGUGCCAGCAGCCGCGGUAAUACGUAGGGGGCGAGCGUUGUCCGGAAUGAUUGGGCGUAAAGGGCGCGUAGGCGGCCUUAUAAGUCUGAAGUGAAAGUCCUGCUUUCAAGGUGGGAAUUGCUUUGGAUACUGUAGGGCUUGAGUGCAGGAGAGGUAAGUGGAAUUCCCAGUGUAGCGGUGAAAUGCGUAGAGAUUGGGAGGAACACCAGUGGCGAAGGCGACUUACUGGACUGUAACUGACGCUGAGGCGCGAAAGUGUGGGGAGCAAACAGG